Molecule: unclassified non-coding RNA, 1186 nt
Filed under: Hevea brasiliensis (rubber tree)
Lineage: Eukaryota; Viridiplantae; Streptophyta; Magnoliopsida; Malpighiales; Euphorbiaceae
Source: RNAcentral
ACCUGGAUGCCACUUUGAAAAGGUUAGUAACAAGCUUCUAUAUGUUUUAUUUCUAAUGUGGCCUUUUCUUGCUCAAUGAACAAUCCCAAUAGUCAAUAUUUUGACCAGUAGAAGACUGAAUAUUCUAUUUUUCUUUCAAUUGAAAUAUGAACGUUGGGGAUCACUUUGAAAGUUAAGAAAAAAAAAUUAUUUACUUAAAUGUGUGUUUGAGAUUCUGGAGAUAAUUAUUAGACAAGAGCCUAAUUUUGUGGAUGAAAUUAAAUUUUUUCCUAAAAUGAUUUUGUCUAUUUUUUCCUAAAAUAAUUUUGUCUAUCUCUAUAAUCAAUUUGAAGACGACCCAAUUCUUGAUGCAUUCAGUUAGCAGUAUUCCUUCCUUCCUUUUUCAGUUUCAUGUCAUCACAUCUAACACUUGGAAAAAAAAAAUCAAUUAUGUUCAUAUUGUGAUGAUUCUCUUAAAUGAAGAUGAAUCCAGAACUGCAAUUUUUUUUUUUUUUUUGUAUAUUUGGCUUUGACCUGGACUUGAACUCGAGAUUUCACCGUGAAAUGACUUCAAAACCACUAAUUUAAAGCUCAUUGGUUAGAGCUAUAAUCAUGUGUUAAGGAGGGUAUAGGGACUUGAGUUGGUAUAGGAUGAGAUAAAUUUAGGCAUUGGUUGCAGGGACAAUGAAAUAUCUUCUUGGAUUCCUUGUAUAUAUUAAAUGGUUUAGUUGAUUUCUUGCUCAUAUGAUCGCUGGUUUGAAUAAAAGUUUAAGCUGAAUAUUUCCAUCUAUGCUUUGCUUUUCUUAAUAAAAGUUGGCUUAUCGUACAAAAGCUCCACUUGAGAAUUGGGCAUUGUUAUUUUAUUGCUCAUCUAAAUAGUGGUUCAACUUUAAAGAGAAUUAAUUGCCUUAAGGACUGAGACUUUCUAUACGAGUGUUAAUAAAGCACUUUCUGCUCUUAAAUGUCCUUACUAGACUUCCUUUUUUUUUCAUGUUCUCUGUGUUUUGUUAAAUGCCUUGAACUGCCAUAUUGAUAUUUCUAUGAGCAUCGUUACCAUAAUUUGUAGGUUGCCAAGUUAGACAAAUUCUCUAUUGCAUCAGCAUCUAGUACUAUAAUUGAUUACUUGUCCAUAACAUUACAGAUGAUGGUAAUUACUCAGUUUGAUAUCUAUCUCACUAUAAAUAGGUAUUUUCCAGAAGGCAUUGAC